This 136-nucleotide small nucleolar RNA is filed under the name Carassius auratus (goldfish). Its description in RNAcentral is "Small nucleolar RNA SNORA13 (ENSCARG00000016426.1)". It matches the Rfam family "Small nucleolar RNA SNORA13". From Rfam's summary of the family: ACA13 is a member of the H/ACA class of snoRNA that guide the sites of modification of uridines to pseudouridines. The record is from Rfam by way of RNAcentral. Lineage: Eukaryota; Metazoa; Chordata; Actinopteri; Cypriniformes; Cyprinidae.
UGCCUUUUGUGUUACCCAUUCUUUUCACUUCCUCUAAAGAGUGUGGUGUCAGCAAAGGCAUACAAAAACUCUUGGUUUGGCUUUACAAAGUGAUUUCUGUGUAUCACCUUGUCUAAAGCUUAUAGCAAGUACAACA